GACGCGGCCCCCACCCUUAACCCCUAGCCUCCAGGGAUCCCAGACAUCCUCCCGGCUCCCUAGAGCCCUCCCCUGUUCUCAGCCCCGUUAGACCCUCCCCUCAGAGCAGAACGCGUUUGCGCUCUAUGUCCCUCCGCAGCCCCUCCACCGUCCUCUCUGCCCCCAAAGGUACCUCCCCACCUCCACUUUAGUCUCACCCCUAAGUACCCCGAAGAAAGCCAAUAUUUCCUUCUCUCCGCAGCGUCCCAGAUAUUAACCGUUCUAUCUCAAUGGUUUUCAGAUUUUAUCUUGCCUCUUGGGUACCCUUUGGGACCCUUAUGUCAUCCCCACCAUCAGGGCACCCAGACUUAACCCUAACUGCAAGUCCCAGACUCACUCUGGUCCUUAUUGAUGAGCCAGGUGUCCCUGGAGUCAAGUGGCUCACUGUCACCGAUUUCAUUCCGAGCCACCACUCUGAAGUAGUACUUCCUGCCUGGGAGCAGCCCCGUCACUGUGUACUUGUUGCUGAAGACACGCUCGGCUGCCGUGUACCAGGUGGCUGUGCUUGCAUCCCGCUUCAUGAUGAUGUAGUGAGCCUCACCGUCCUCCUGCACAUCUGGGCUGUGGUUCCAGGCAUCUGCCAAGUCCGAUGGAAGAUAAGAUGGGGCAAGUCUCAGGCAGCUGGUGUCUUGGAGUCGGAAAACUAUUUCUGAAGUCUGCUCUGCCAUUUACUAGCCUCGUGACCUGGGGCCAUACAGACAUCUAGCUGCCCUGCAACCCUGUGAAGCAUUUAUUUGUUUUCUCAUCUGUCUCCUUCUACUAGUACGCAAGACCCUGGAAGGCAAGUCCUUGUGUCUUGUUUCUAUAACCCUAACACCUCCUUUUGAAAUUGCCAUUGCAACAAUUAUAACAGCGAGAAAAUUAUGACAGUGAACGAGAUCUGAUCUAACCAACCCCCAUCUUGCCUUUACCCUCCAAACUGCCCUUAAUCAUUCCUGGUUUCAGACCAUGAGGAAACUGAAGCUCAGAGGGAAAGCAGCUUGCCCAAGAUGGUGGGAGAGCUGAUAAUAAAGUGAUACUAAUCUACUGCAGAUGCUGAGUUCCAGGCACCACGCUCCACCACCUGGGCAGGUGGAUGAUUGACAUGGGUCUGC
This 1133-nucleotide long non-coding RNA is filed under the name Homo sapiens (human). RNAcentral describes it as "long non-coding RNA NONHSAT158901.1". Lineage: Eukaryota; Metazoa; Chordata; Mammalia; Primates; Hominidae. The record is from RNAcentral.